This 392-nucleotide ribosomal RNA is filed under the name uncultured Planctomycetales bacterium. RNAcentral describes it as "bacterial SSU rRNA". It matches the Rfam family "Bacterial small subunit ribosomal RNA", at positions 375 to 757 of the family's 1533-position model. Lineage: Bacteria; Pseudomonadati; Planctomycetota; Planctomycetia; Planctomycetales. The record is from RNAcentral.
CCGAAAGGGUGACGAAGCGACGCCGCGUGGGUGAGGAAGGCCUUCGGGUUGUAAAGCCCUGUCAGGAGUUAAGAAAUGUAAGUGCGCUAAUAUCGCAUUUAUUUGACGAAGGCUCCAAAGGAGGUCACGGCUAACUCUGUGCCAGCAGCCGCGGUAAUACAGAGGUGGCAAGCGUUGUUCGGAAUUAUUGGGCGUAAAGAGCACGUAGGUGGGUUUGUAAGUCAGAUGUGAAAGCCUUCUGUUCAACGGAAGAAUUGCAUCUGAAACUGCGAGUCUUGAGUGUAGGAGGGGAGAAUGGAACUUCUGGUGGAGCGGUGAAAUGCGUAGAUAUCAGAAGGAACGCCGGCGGCGAAAGCGACUCUCUGGCCUAUUACUGACACUCAGUGUGCGAA